This 572-nucleotide ribosomal RNA is filed under the name uncultured Gammaproteobacteria bacterium. RNAcentral describes it as "bacterial SSU rRNA". It matches the Rfam family "Bacterial small subunit ribosomal RNA", at positions 812 to 1382 of the family's 1533-position model. Lineage: Bacteria; Pseudomonadati; Pseudomonadota; Gammaproteobacteria. The record is from RNAcentral.
UCGAUUUGGAGUUUGUUGCCUAGAGUGAUGGGCUCCGAAGCUAACGCGAUAAAUCGACCGCCUGGGGAGUACGGCCGCAAGGUUAAAACUCAAAUGAAUUGACGGGGGCCCGCACAAGCGGUGGAGCAUGUGGUUUAAUUCGAUGCAACGCGAAGAACCUUACCUGGUCUUGACAUCCACAGAAUCUUGCAGAGAUGCGAGAGUGCCUUCGGGAACUGUGAGACAGGUGCUGCAUGGCUGUCGUCAGCUCGUGUUGUGAAAUGUUGGGUUAAGUCCCGCAACGAGCGCAACCCUUAUCCUUUGUUGCCAUCGGUUAGGCCGGGAACUCAAAGGAGACUGCCGUUGAUAAAGCGGAGGAAGGUGGGGACGACGUCAAGUCAUCAUGGCCCUUACGACCAGGGCUACACACGUGCUACAAUGGCGUAUACAAAGGGAGGCGACCUCGCGAGAGCAAGCGGACCUCAUAAAGUACGUCUAAGUCCGGAUNGGAGUCUGCAACUCGACUCCAUGAAGUCGGAAUCGCUAGNNAAUCGUGAAUCAGAAUGUCACGGGUGAANACGUUCCCGGGCCUU